This 147-nucleotide small RNA is filed under the name human gut metagenome. RNAcentral's name for it is "Clostridiales-1 RNA". It matches the Rfam family "Clostridiales-1 RNA". The record is from RNAcentral. RNAcentral also lists the same sequence under 1 other name.
CAGUCUCAAAGCAUAAGCAGAUGUAUGCUUGCAUACACAUCUGCUUAUGGUUUAGAGACGAUAACGGAAAUGAGCAAGCAGGCUGACAAGCCGGAUUGCGAAUUUACGUCGAAUUGCGAGAAUGCGGAGCAUGGAGCAAUUCGGGGU